UGCAUUUAUUUGUCAUUUAUAAUUUCGAAUAAUUUUGAUUUCAACAUUGAUAUCAAAUUUACUAUAAAUUUGGAACUUACUAAAUUGCAAAUUCAUUGUAAUUCAUGAUUGACCCAUUCAUUAAUAAUCAAUCAAUUGAACCACUCACCAUUCAUUCAGUAUGAAUGACCCAUUCGUACCGGAAGAAAUGUUUUGCGUCAAUGGCCGUUCAUGGGGUCUCAGGAAAAUAAAACCAAAUGAAAGGGUAUUACACAUUUUUCGAUUACUUAUCAAUGGAUCAUCAUCAUCAUCAUCAUCACUAGGAUCGUGAUCAUUGUGGUGACACAAUGUCUAUAAACAAGAGUGAGAAAAUAAACAAAAAUUGCUUACCUAUACCAUUUUCAUUAUAA
This is a long non-coding RNA of Drosophila willistoni, 389 nucleotides long. RefSeq lists it as uncharacterized. NCBI's taxonomy places the organism in Eukaryota, Metazoa, Arthropoda, Insecta, Diptera, Drosophilidae. The transcript is spliced from 2 exons. The record is from RefSeq and is a predicted model, not a curated record.